AUCUGUAUAGUUUAAAUAAAACAUUAAUCUUGUAAAUUAAAUAUAGAAUCACUGCUUACAGAUG
Molecule: transfer RNA, 64 nt
Filed under: Andrena flavipes
Lineage: Eukaryota; Metazoa; Arthropoda; Insecta; Hymenoptera; Andrenidae
Also listed under: 1 other name
Description: tRNA-Thr
Rfam family: tRNA
About the family: Transfer RNA (tRNA) molecules are approximately 80 nucleotides in length. Their secondary structure includes four short double-helical elements and three loops (D, anti-codon, and T loops). Further hydrogen bonds mediate the characteristic L-shaped molecular structure. tRNAs have two regions of fundamental functional importance: the anti-codon, which is responsible for specific mRNA codon recognition, and the 3' end, to which the tRNAs corresponding amino acid is attached (by aminoacyl-tRNA synthetases). tRNAs cope with the degeneracy of the genetic code in two manners: having more than one tRNA (with a specific anti-codon) for a particular amino acid; and 'wobble' base-pairing, i.e. permitting non-standard base-pairing at the 3rd anti-codon position.
Source: RNAcentral